CAACCCUCAAGCCUGGCUUGGUGAUGGGGCACUGCCUGUGACAGGGCAGGCCCUGAAAUCCAGCGGCGAGCCCGCCGGGACCCCGAGCGUAGUAGUUACUUCUCGCUCCGGAAGGCCCUGGCGGCGCCCUGCCGUUAAACCCCCAACUCCUGAAA
Molecule: unclassified non-coding RNA, 155 nt
Filed under: uncultured Diaporthe
Lineage: Eukaryota; Fungi; Ascomycota; Sordariomycetes; Diaporthales; Diaporthaceae
Description: sequence contains ITS2
Source: RNAcentral